Molecule: long non-coding RNA, 481 nt
Organism: Dunckerocampus dactyliophorus (ringed pipefish)
Lineage: Eukaryota; Metazoa; Chordata; Actinopteri; Syngnathiformes; Syngnathidae
Exons: 3
Source: RefSeq, a predicted model, not a curated record
GUGAGACAGACUGCUAAUCAAACACAGUGUCAACUUCCUUCCUCAAAAAGUCUCCGACUGGAUUAAACGAAGCAAAUAAAGUCGAGAGUGCUCCUCGCGGUGACUCGGAAUGCAUCGUUGAACUGCUGAACGCAUUUGUUACAGGCCAAGCCUGUCCCUUUAAGAAGAAUUGCUUCCCUCGCUGUCUGACUGCACCGCCCAUUGUUUUCUGCGUCAUGAUUGCCUGUCGACCACAAUCUACUUCGUGCCGCCCCUGCCGUGUCUCCUGUGUCAUCGCUAGCUCGCUUGCUUGCUAGCUUGUAAAGGAAUCUUCAGUUCGAAAGAGGAGGACUGCAACAGGUCUGCCCUGGGGCCUUCUCCUGUUUGGGCAUGCCCGGAACACCGCACCAGGGAGGCAUCCGUACUAGAUGCCCGAGCCGCUUGCCUUCUUGGCUCUCUUGGUUAAGGGCUGGGUUGCACUGUGGAGGUUUUUUUUUUUUUU